GGUAAACGCUGGCGGCGUGCCUAAAACAUGCAAGUCGAACGGUGUCCUUCGGGGCACAGUGGCAGACGGCUGAGUAACGCGUGGGUGACGUACCGAUGUGUGGGGAAUAACUGCCCGAAAGGGUGGCUAAUACCGCAUACGCCCGCCGAUUCGGUUUCGGUGGGGAAAGCUUCGUGAGAGGCGCAGAUGGAGCGGCCCGCGUCCGAUUAGCUGGUUGGUGGGGUAACGGCCUACCAAGGCGACGAUCGGAGCUGGUCUCAGAGGAUGAUCAGCCAGACUGGGACUGAGACACGGCCCAGACUCCUACGGGAGGCAGCAGUUAGGAAUUUUGGGCAACGGGCGCAAGCC
This 348-nucleotide ribosomal RNA is filed under the name uncultured bacterium. RNAcentral describes it as "bacterial SSU rRNA". It matches the Rfam family "Bacterial small subunit ribosomal RNA", at positions 28 to 383 of the family's 1533-position model. The record is from RNAcentral.